AUUUAAACGGAGGGGCAAGGGGGUCAGUUACUCACCUUCAUGUGCAAAGGGAAGCAGAGAGAAAGUAGCCUGGAGACAAAUACACACACCCACACGAGGGACAAUAACUGUCUAGGUUCCUGCUGCUUUUCCAAUUGCUGGUUCCAGUUCCCAAUGAGGCCUGACUGGAGCUCUUGGCCGUCUGCAUUCCCUGGCGCUGGUCCUGCAUCUUCAAAGUCGGAAACAGUGAGCUGAGUGCCUUUCAUGCCCCCUUCUCUUUGGUUCUUCCUCUGGCUCUUUUGCCUCCUCUUGUCCUUAGAAGGACCCUUGUGCCGACCCACCCACAUAAUCCAGGAUGAUCUCAUCUCAAGGGUUUUUUUCUGGCUACUCUGGACUAUAGAGUUAGAGGUCAAGGGUGGAAAAAGAGAGACACCAAAGAGACUACCACAGUAAUCCAGGAUUUCUGUCAUGUUGAACAUGGUUUAUGAGAGGAAGGGAAUAAAAAUGAAGACAAGAUUUGGCCCAAGCAUUUGCCACUUGUAAGGGCAUAACGGGAGAAAUGAACACAUUGCAUGAAAUAAGGUAAGUGGUUCUUGAGGAGAAUCAGCUUCAUGGACAUUCUGCCUUGACCAGCCUGAGAAGUUGAAAGACCCAAGCCUAAAGAAAGUGAAUUUGCUUCUCUUCCUGCCCAAACUCGUGUUGACAACUGUGGAACAACAGCAGCAAUGACAACAACAGCAACACAUGCACACGCACACACGAAAGAUGAGACUUCUGCCUUUUGCUUCCAAGCUGUUCAUAUGGUGAUCAUUUAGCCAUUUCUUCCAUAAACUUCCUUUUAUCCUGUGGCUGAACUGACUGGCUUCACUUCGAGAUCAGGGACAUGGUGGUGUAUUGAGGACCUACACAGAAACUGGGUUCUUGUGGACUCUGUUGGAGCUCUCAUCUCAACCUGACAACCUGGAGAUGGGCAAAGUACAGGGGGAGUUACGCUUCGCUCAGGACCUUGCGUGUGUGGUCUUUCUUGGACAAGAAAGCACAUUGGACUCCUCCCGUCAAGCCCUUUCUUCCCUGUAUCUGAGGUGGGACGCCUACCACGACAAGGCUCUUGCCAAGCAGUGCCACGUCUGCACCCAGGAUCCGACCCGGCGAACCCUGGGCCACCGAAGCGGAACGUGCGCACUUAACCGCUGCGCCACCAGGCUGGCCCCAGAAUUUCUAAUUUUUAAAAACAAUUUAUUUCUCUCUAUGUAUUCUCCAUUUAGUGAGACCCUGUCUUCAUACUUUCCUUAAGUUCUUUAGGCAUGGUUUACUUUAGUCCUUUGAGCAUAUUUAAAAUAUCCCAUGUAAUAUCUUUGUCUAGGAAGCCAAUAUAUGUGCUUCCCCAGGGAAGGUUUCUAUUGACUGAUAUUUAUCCUGUGUAUGGACCAUACUUUCUUGUUUCUUUAUAUGCCUCAUAAAUUUUUGUUCAAAACUAGACAUUUUAAGUAAUAGAAUAUGCCAAUUCUGGAAAUAAGAUUCUUCCCUCUUUCCAGUGAUUGUUGUUGAUCUCAGAUGUGGUUGCUGUUUUUUUGUUUAAUAACAAAUGGGGAAAAUGGCAAUUAAAGGAUUAAAGUAUAAAUAAAUUGUGAUCUAUGAAUACAAGGACAUAUUACUAGAUGUUAAAGGUCACAGAUAGUAGACAACUGUGGCUUGAAGUCUGAGGUCAGGAGAUGUUAACUGCAAAGAGGCUCAAGGAAAUUCUGAGGUGACGGAAUUGUGGUAUAUAU
Molecule: long non-coding RNA, 1748 nt
Filed under: Equus caballus (horse)
Lineage: Eukaryota; Metazoa; Chordata; Mammalia; Perissodactyla; Equidae
Description: lncRNA (ENSECAG00000051704.1)
Source: RNAcentral